Molecule: ribosomal RNA, 486 nt
Filed under: Triticum aestivum (bread wheat)
Lineage: Eukaryota; Viridiplantae; Streptophyta; Magnoliopsida; Poales; Poaceae
Description: partial small subunit ribosomal RNA
Source: RNAcentral
AUGCUCCGGCUCCGAGAGUGCGUCUUUUCCCGUCUCCUCCCUCCUUCCUCCACCUCUGCCAUCUCCCCGCUGCUUCGCCUCCUCUCCGCAUCCGCAUCCCCGAACCCCGGUGGCUUCGCUGUCGAGGAGUACCUCGUCGCCACCUGCGGCCUCACCCGGGCCCAAGCCAUCAAGGCCUCCAAGAAGCUCGCCCACCUCAAGACCCCCGACAAGCCGAACGCCGUCCUCGCCUUCCUCUCCGGCCUCGGCCUCUCCGGCGCCGACGUCGCCGCCGUCGUCGCCAAAGACCCGCGGCUACUCUGCGCCAAAGUGGACAAAACCCUGGCCCCUAAGGCCGUCGGGCUCGCCGGCAUAGGUCUCUCGCGUCAUGAGAUCGCCCGCCUCGUCUCCCUCGGCCCCGAGUGCUUCCGCUCCAGACACAUCGUCUCCAAGCUGCAGUACUACCACCCCCUCUUCGGCUCCUUCCACAACUUCCUCCGGGCGUAA